RNAcentral lists this long non-coding RNA (1246 nucleotides) under Athene cunicularia (burrowing owl). Its description in RNAcentral is "lncRNA (ENSACUG00000010909.1)". Lineage: Eukaryota; Metazoa; Chordata; Aves; Strigiformes; Strigidae. The record is from RNAcentral.
AGGCAAUGAGGCAAAUCCACCUCUAUCUGGAAGCAAAGGGGAGCAAACAGAAGCCUGUACAGCUCUAAUGUCAGAGUUGCCUUCUAACCCUCCAAAUGCCUUCCUGGUACCAAAGCCUGAAGAGCCUUGGAGGGAAGAUGUGCCUGGAAAUGACUCUCAAGAGCCAAUGAAGAACGAAGCAGUGAAAACAGGCUCUGAAAAAAAUGAACCCAUUUUUCAAAGAGAGCUUCAAAAGGAGGAUGAGCUUCUUAGCGCCGAGCAUUUCAGUGUGCCUUUAUCAUUUAAGCAAGAGGAAGAACAAAAAUCAGCUGUCACAACUGAAAGCCCAAAAGAUGAAGCCAGUAGCAAUGAAAUUAUAAAAGCUGAUGAUGUGUCUAGAGAAAGCACCACACUUUCUGAAACAGAAAGUAUUAUCAGUCCCACCAAGGAAAAUUCCCUGGUAGAUAAAAGAUUAUUACUGGAAGAAUAUGCAUUAAGUGUUUCUCUGAGCAGAUCCACAGAGCUGAAUCAAAAAGAAACUGAGGCAAGUCUAACAGGAGAAAAAAAUGAAAUCAGAAUAGAGGAGGCACAAGAGACACAAACCAGUGAAUUACCUGAGGGGUCAACAGGGGCAGAAAGACAACUGUUGGACUCUGUUAGUAGCCACCUGCAGGACAUGGAAAAUGCUCAUUUGGGACACAAUCCCGAAGAAUUCAGUCUUUGUGAAAAGACUUCAACAGGUGACCUAGGGGAAAAAACUGGGGGAAAGCCUCUGAAUUUAGACAGUAUCUUUAAAUUGCCCAAAGACAAUUCUCACUCUCUUGUUUAUAAACCUGAACAACAAAUGAGUAAAGAGCAAACAGAUGCCACAGAUGACCUGGAGAAUAAGCUUGCGGCUUCACCACAGUUUCCAACGGAAGCACCACUGAGUUUUGACUACCUUAACACUGAGGCAGAAGACAAAACUUUGGGCCAACCAGGCUGUAACGAGACUGAAAAGGUUUGUUUAGCUGGUGCACACAGUUCACUGCUCCUCCACGCUGAGAACAAUAAUAUUAAGCAGAGUAAGCAGGAUGAAUCCUGGGAAAAGGCUUUUGCUACAGAAACUGUGUUAGAAUCUGAAUACAAAGCCGAGAGUCAAGGAAAGCCUGAGAGCUAUAGCACGUCAGAAGAAAGUGCAAAAAUGUCCAACUCAAAACUUGAGCUCCAGGGCUUCAGUGAGUUGGCAGGGACUACGGCUGCACAAACUAAGGAGGCCUCACGGGUU